GAUGACGGUAUGUUAAUUUAAUAUUAUUUUAUGUUCAAUAAAAUUUAGAAAUUUAAAAAUAUAUCAAAUAAUGUUAACCCGUCAAAUUGCUUACAAAAUUUAUUUAAUUUUUUGCACGUUUCUAAUUGAAUUUGCUUUCUUUAUCGAGAAAUGUACUUCAUAAUUUAUAUUAUUUAUGGAUAAUAUUUUGAUUUUUUUUAUAUUUUCUUUUAAUAUGUCUACAUAAAUGUUUG
RNAcentral lists this long non-coding RNA (233 nucleotides) under Brassica rapa (field mustard). Its description in RNAcentral is "long non-coding RNA (BRAP_LNC007237)". Lineage: Eukaryota; Viridiplantae; Streptophyta; Magnoliopsida; Brassicales; Brassicaceae. The record is from RNAcentral.